UCUAAUUUAGAUACAUUGAACUUAAUCUCUUUUGUUCAAUUUCCAUGUAGGUUUCAACUUCUUAGUGACAAUCAACUUCUCAAAAGAUCUUCUAGAUAAAGAGAUCUUCUAUAUAGACUUUCUUUUCUCUUGUUGGAUUUAACUUACACACCAAGAUUGUUCCACCUCUUUCCUUCUGUUGUAAGAUUCUUUCAAGAUUUUAACUUUAUUGCAGCAAAU
RNAcentral lists this long non-coding RNA (219 nucleotides) under Panax ginseng (ginseng). RNAcentral describes it as "long non-coding RNA (PGIN_LNC018194)". The record is from RNAcentral. Lineage: Eukaryota; Viridiplantae; Streptophyta; Magnoliopsida; Apiales; Araliaceae.